UACGGAGGAUGCGAGCGUUAUCCGGAAUCAUUGGGUUUAAAGGGUGCGUAGGCUGGUAUUUAAGUCAGUGGUGAAAUUUUCGUGCUUAACAUGAGAGCUGCCAUUGAUACUGGAUACCUUGAGUGUAUUUGAUGUGGGCGGAAUGUGUUGUGUAGCGGUGAAAUGCAUAGAUAUGACACAGAACACCGAUAGCGAAGGCAGCUCACAAAGUUACAACUGACGCUGAUGCACGAAAGCGUGGGGAUCAAACAGG
RNAcentral lists this ribosomal RNA (253 nucleotides) under uncultured bacterium. RNAcentral describes it as "partial 16S ribosomal RNA". It matches the Rfam family "Bacterial small subunit ribosomal RNA", at positions 524 to 776 of the family's 1533-position model. The record is from RNAcentral.